CCUACGGGAGGCAGCAGUGGGGGAUAUUGCACAAUGGGGGGAACCCUGAUGCAGCGACGCCGCGUGGGUGAAGAAGCGCCUCGGCGCGUAAAGCCCUUUCAGCAGGGAAGAAAAUGACGGUACCUGAAGCAGAAGCCCCGGCUAACUACGUGCCAGCAGCCGCGGUAAUACGUAGGGGGCAAGCGUUAUCCGGAUUUACUGGGUGUAAAGGGGGCGCAGACGGCGAUGCAAGCCAGGAGUGAAAGCCCGGGGCCCAACCCCGGGACUGCUCUUGGAACUGCGUGGCUGGAGUGCAGGAGGGGUAGGCGGAAUUCCUGGUGUAGCGGUGAAAUGCGUAGAUAUCAGGAGGAACACCGGUGGCGAAGGCGGCCUGCUGGACUGCAACUGACGUUGAGGCCCGAAAGCGUGGGGAGCAAACAGGAUUAGAUACCCUUGUAGUC
RNAcentral lists this ribosomal RNA (440 nucleotides) under uncultured bacterium. Its description in RNAcentral is "partial 16S ribosomal RNA". It matches the Rfam family "Bacterial small subunit ribosomal RNA", at positions 338 to 795 of the family's 1533-position model. The record is from RNAcentral.